Cyprinus carpio (common carp) is the source of this 1534-nucleotide long non-coding RNA. The record is from Ensembl. NCBI's taxonomy places the organism in Eukaryota, Metazoa, Chordata, Actinopteri, Cypriniformes, Cyprinidae.
UGAUUAAUAGACUGUAAAGGCCCUGUGGAGUAAAUUACAUAAUGUAUUGUAUAUUUGUAUUACAUAAUUGUAUCACUCAAACCCAUGCAGGCAAUGCCAGUCACAGAAUCGGUCACCAUUAAUAAAACUUAUUAGCAAUUUAAAUGAUUUUAUCAUGCAAUCAUCAUCAAUAUUUAAAUACCAUUAUCCCUGCAGUCCUGCAAGAGAGCAAUAACCAAGUGGUCACUCUAAUCAUCAUGUCAGUGUGAAAUACUGUUUCAAUUUACUACUACUUACUGGCAUUCUUUUGCUUUAUCUUGAUAUUAAAAAUCAGACUUCAUUCUGAUAUUUAAUGGCCACCUGUCAAAAUCCAAACAUAGACAAAAAUCCUUCACUAUAUUGUUAUUUUUAUUGAAUAUCCAGCUUUAAUAAGCAUAAAAUACAUAGAGAACAUGUAUGAAUGUGGAUACAGCAGUUAGGAUGUACUCUAUAUUCAGCUUUUAAAAUAUCCACCUUUUUCCUCAACGCGGAAGUAAGCCUAUGGGUGAGACUUCUGUUUCAUUAGCUGAUAUAGGUAAAUAACGAGGAGAAUAACGUGUCAUCAAUUGUCAAUAUCAGGCAGUAAAACGAACUGUUUUGUACAUCUAAAAAUAGCUGGACGCAAAUGAGACCGUAAGUUUCACCCAUAGAAUUGACAAAUGGUGGCGCCCAUUUUUACGUCCUGAAAAAGGUGGAUAGUUGGGCGAUAUAAUAAACAUUUUUCAAUGAUAUAACAAUCAAGCAGUUGAGAUUUGCUGUAUAGUACAUACGUACAUAUAAGUAUGGAAUGAAAUUAGAUAGCACACCUGCUGUUCAAUGACAGUACUGAAUUCAGUUUAUCAGUUCUAUUUCUUUUGUCCAAAUUCAGCUAGUUAAAAGCUUCUUUCUAUCCCUUCUUCUCUCUCCUCACCUGUUUGUUCUAGGCAGAAGAUGAGUUGGUGUCUGAGGAGGAAGAAGAAGAACUCAGAGAGCUUGAGGAGGAAGAGGAGCAAGCCUCAGAGGAAGACUAGUGUUCUGAAGCAGAGGAUUUUGGACCUGGAUUUUCCCACACAGCCUGAAGUGACACCCCACUUGCCCUGGAGUCACCGAAAAUCACCCACAAAUACCUUCUUUGCAGCUUUGCCAAAGCCAAAUGUGACACCACUGCACUGGACAAUAUGCACUCAGGACUCCAGCUUCAAGACACCCCGCCCCUGAUUAAUGUGCCUUUUUGAGGUUCCACAAUGCCUUUUUACGCUAGAGUUGCUUCAGCUUAAGUGGCGAGUUUCAAGUGAAUUUAAAGGGAUGUCUUUUUUCCUUAAUGUACAUAUAGAAAAUAGCUUAUUCUACUACUUUUAAACUAACAUCACUUUGUGACUUUGUUCUGUAGAAUCCCAAAUAGCCAAACCACUCAAAUGUGCCAAACUAAUACUUACAAAUACCUCUGUGUGUGCCUUAUAUUGUGAAGUACACUACCAGUCAUAUUAUGGACACACUUUGCUACAAUGCUAAAAAUAAACUGAACUCAUCUAUUACA